This 162-nucleotide ribosomal RNA is filed under the name uncultured bacterium. RNAcentral describes it as "partial 16S rRNA". It matches the Rfam family "Bacterial small subunit ribosomal RNA", at positions 358 to 511 of the family's 1533-position model. The record is from RNAcentral.
GGAAUCUUCCACAAUGGGUGCAAGCCUGAUGGAGCAACGCCGCGUGAGUGAAGAAGGUCUUCGGAUCGUAAAGCUCUGUUGUAAGAGAAGAACGUGUGUGAGAGUGGAAAGUUCACACAGUGACGGUAACUUACCAGAAAGGGACGGCUAACUACGUGCCAG